CUAUUUUCUUCGAAGAAGAUGGAUACAAAUUUUUACUGAUUUACUGCUCGGAAAUAUAUCAAAGCAAGCUAUAAUUUUCUAUGCAAGAAAUCCAGGGUAUGUAGUUCUUUUCCUCGUAUCAAAAGCUUGGUAUUUAAUUUUAUAAAAUGGUAAAUUAUAUUCCCCCGUUUGUAUGAAAUACGCAACGUAACAUUGCGACAAAGUUACAAAUUAAUUAUAGUUGACCAACUUGAACAUUUGCACCACUGUGAACUGUGAAGUACGCAUGGCAUUCAAUAUGGCAUUCCUAUUGUUUGGGAUAAACAUUGUGAAAAUUUUGUGAAGACCAAAGACAUAAAUUAAGAGAGGUUUCGUUGUUGGGAAUAGUAAAUUAAUAUUCAAAAAUUGAUCAAAAUUGUACACUUUGAUGAUAUAUACAGGUUUAUAAUACAGGUACAUACUAUUGAUCUGUAACUAUUUAAUCAAUAUAUGGUAGUGAUAAGUGAUGUACCAAAUGAUAUGGAAAUUUACUGAUAUUCCAAUAAACAAUAUUCAGGGGCUGAUAUAUUGGCCACUACCAAUAGCCAACAUUCUAUUUCACUACAAAAUGAUCGUUGGAAAAUUCAUCAUAACUAUGAAUUGAGAGUGGCCAAUCAUGUGUCAGUAUCCAUGCACCCUUAUGCACCCGUCUUUAUUAUUUUACUCCAUUUAAUGCUGGACGAUUUUAUUUGUCAAGGGGAUAGUGCUGCCACUCAAUGGUUUAACUUCACGAUGAAGGGCCUUCGCUCAAAGCAUUGAAGUUCUCCUUGUAUUAUCAGGUAGUUAUUAAUCUGCAGCUUUCUUAUUAUUGCCACUACCUACACUAGCACAGAUACAGAUCUAACCAGAAGCAGCUGUGAAAAUUGCAACUAUUAAGGCCCUCUUGCAGGAAUUGAACCGGUGCAGCUGCCUGUGUGUUGUUGAGUUAUUGUUGUACCGUGUAUGGUAUACUAAGGGGGAAACGACAAAACGUGAACCCCAGGUCUGUGGAAUAUGUUUGUGGACCUGGUCCGUGGAACUUGUGGACCACUCUCACAGACCACUCUCGUGGACCACUUGUGAAACACUGGAUUGUGCCGACCAUCAACAGAGCAGUAAUACAUGUAUAAAAUGAAUAUGACUUUUCAUAACAAUACAAGCAACCUUCAGUAAUAACUGCUCAAAACGUAUUGGCAUUUAACAUGGAGUAGAGAGAAAAAGCGUUAUUUUUCAAUAUAAUGCGAUAACUUGUAUUUGCGUGGGAUUAUUUUACGGUUAGACAUUCGAAUGAAGGCUGCCCAGUCAGAGGUUUACAGUUGUACAGUUUGCAUUUACAUAAAUGUCAAUGUGUGUGUGUGAUAGGUGAAGACAUUGCAUAACUGAAGCUGGUGGUUUGAACUCUUGACUGUGCAUGAAAAAAUGUGCUUGAUCGAAUCGAGUCGUUAACUCGUUAUUAUUAUCAUUCUGGAAACUCUACACAAAAUGUGAAGUUCUAAAUUCAUUCUAAAAUACAAGUUUACAGUUUUACGACUUCACUGCAAAGUUUCCGAAUAUAUGCCCUUAAAAUUGGUAGUUUUUUUUUCAUUUUGAGUGUUACAAAAAUGCAAGAAAAGCAGUAAGGCAUAAAAAAAAUAUGUGUGGUUCCGGUUUCAUAUCGUGAAAAAAUUAGGGUCGGUUGGUCGGAAAUACAUUUUUUAAAAAAAUAUUUUUGUCAUGGUUUUGGCAGUUUUUUGCUGGGCGAUUUGCAGUAGAGUUCCGACAUCAAUAUUAACUAGAGAUGCGUAUUUCCUAUGGACGAAUUUAGGCAAUUUGAUUCAAUAAUUAGUGAGACAACAGACGCCAUUUUGGCACGCUGUAUGAGCAGCCCGCAACCACCUGGAGAAAAUAGGGUCGCACAGUCAAUCGUGUCGAAAAAAUAAUAGGGUCGGCAGAAAAAAAUAGGGUCGGUCAGGAAUCGGAACCACAGGUAUUUUUUUACGCCUAAUUGAGCUUCAAAAAUCAAUAUUUUUGGGAGAGGACCUCCUACAGUUAAAGUAUAUUUUUUAACAUUUAAACAUUCUAACAUGAUUAUAUGAGUUUAUAUGCAUGUCGAAAUAAACUGUGAAAUCAAAAUCAAUAAUUUGUAUAUAUUAUGCUUGCAGUUAGAAAUGGAUGAUAAUGAUGAUUCAGACAGUGACGUUGAGAUAUCGAGGAAAAGAAAAUUAAAUAUUUUGGAAGAUGAAGAUAGUGAUGAAACUGAUGAUGAAGAUGAAG
This 2250-nucleotide long non-coding RNA is filed under the name Paramuricea clavata. The record is from RNAcentral. Lineage: Eukaryota; Metazoa; Cnidaria; Anthozoa; Malacalcyonacea; Plexauridae.